CCUACGGGAGGCAGCAGUGAGGAAUAUUGGUCAAUGGACGAGAGUCUGAACCAGCCAAGUAGCGUGAAGGAUGACUGCCCUAUGGGUUGUAAACUUCUUUUAUCUGGGAGUAAAAUGCUCCACGUGUGGGAUUUUGUAUGUACCAUAUGAAUAACGAUCGGCUAACUCCGUGCAAGCAGCCGCGUUAAUACGGAGGCUCCGAGCGUUAUCCGGAUUUUUUGGGUUUAAAGGGAGCGUAGGGGGAUUGUUAAGUCAGUUGUGAAAGUUUGCGGUUCAACCGUAAAAUUGCAGUUGAAACUGGCAGUCUUGAGUACAGUAGAGGUGGGCGGAAUGCGUGGUGUAGCGGUGAAAUGCUUAGAUAUCACGAAGAACUCCGAUUGCGAAGGCAGCUCACUGGACUGCAACUGACACUGAGGCACGAAAGUGUGGGUAUCAAACAGGAUUAGAUACCCGGGUAGUC
RNAcentral lists this ribosomal RNA (460 nucleotides) under uncultured bacterium. Its description in RNAcentral is "partial 16S ribosomal RNA". It matches the Rfam family "Bacterial small subunit ribosomal RNA", at positions 338 to 795 of the family's 1533-position model. The record is from RNAcentral.